This 95-nucleotide ribosomal RNA is filed under the name Propithecus coquereli (Coquerel's sifaka). The record is from RNAcentral. Lineage: Eukaryota; Metazoa; Chordata; Mammalia; Primates; Indriidae.
GUCUACGGCCAUACCACCCUGAACGUGCCUGAUCUCGUCUGAUCUCAGAAGCUAAGCAGGGUCGGGCCUGGUUAGUACUUGGAGGGCAGAAGACA